Molecule: ribosomal RNA, 340 nt
Filed under: uncultured bacterium
Lineage: Bacteria
Description: bacterial SSU rRNA
Rfam family: Bacterial small subunit ribosomal RNA
Source: RNAcentral
AAAACAAACCUACGGGAGGCAGCAGUGGGGAAUAUUGCACAAUGGGGGAAACCCUGAUGCAGCAACGCCGCGUGAGUGAUGACGGUCUUCGGAUUGUAAAGCUCUGUCUUCAGGGACGAUAAUGACGGUACCUGAGGAGGAAGCCACGGCUAACUACGUGCCAGCAGCCGCGGUAAUACGUAGGUGGCAAGCGUUGUCCGGAUUUACUGGGCGUAAAGGGAGCGUAGGUGGAUAUUUAAGUGGGAUGUGAAAUACUCGGGCUUAACCUGGGUGCUGCAUUCCAAACUGGAUAUCUAGAGUGCAGGAGAGGAAAGUAGAAUUCCUAGUGUAGCGGUGAAAU